Molecule: ribosomal RNA, 420 nt
Filed under: Fusobacteriota bacterium
Lineage: Bacteria; Fusobacteriati; Fusobacteriota
Description: Fusobacteria bacterium partial 16S ribosomal RNA
Rfam family: Bacterial small subunit ribosomal RNA
Source: RNAcentral
UGGGGGAUAUUGCACAAUGGGCGAAAGCCUGAUGCAGCGACGCCGCGUGGGGGAUGAAGGCCUUCGGGUUGUAAACUUCUUUUGCUCUGAACAAGGCAUGCCUUUGGGGUGUGUUGAGUGUAGGGGUUGAUUAGCGCCGGCUAACUACGUGCCAGCAGCCGCGGUAAUACGUAGGGCGCGAGCGUUGUUCGGAAUUAUUGGGCGUAAAGGGCUUGUAGGUGGCUGGUUGCGUCUGUCGUGAAAGCUCAUGGCUUAACUGUGGGUUUGCGGUGGGUACGGGCUGGCUUGAGUGCAGUAGGGGAGGGUGGAAGUCCUAGUGUAGCGGUGGAAUGCGCAGAUAUCAGGGGGAAUACCGGUAGCGAAGGCGGGUCUCUGGGCUGUUACUGACGCUGAGGAGCUAAAGCGUGGGGAGCGAACAGG